GCAAGCAAAGGUGCAAACAUAUACAAUACAGAGAGGAUUAGCAUGGUUGCUGUACAAGAAUGACACGCAAAAUCAUGAAGCGUUCCAUUUUUUU
RNAcentral lists this small nuclear RNA (94 nucleotides) under Salvator merianae (Argentine black and white tegu). The record is from RNAcentral. Lineage: Eukaryota; Metazoa; Chordata; Lepidosauria; Squamata; Teiidae.